UCGAUACGAUUCGGAACGCGACUCAAAAGACUACAGAAGUGGAAAGAGUGAAUUCCUCGUUUAUCCCAUCCUCCUGCACUGCAGCCCUAGGCUCCUGACCCUUCCCUGGCGCGUCUCCAUGCCAUUCCCUCGGGUCUUGCCACUGUCACCACAGGGAAGAGACCCCCGCCCAGACCCGAUCCGCGAUGAUGGCGGCGCACCCGGCCCCGCCCUCCGCCCGGUCGCCAUCUCCAUGGCCGGGCCGGGGGCGCCUCCUGGCGGCGGCGGCGCGGAGCCGUCCCGCACGAGGCCUAGAGCGAUGUAGUACCGACCUCCGGCCGCCAGGGGAUACCGCCUCCCCGGGCUGAGCCUGGCGACGCGCGCCUUCGCGCUGCCGCGUCUCCUCUGCGUCACCGCCCCGCGGCGAGUACGGCGCUCCAAGAUGGCGCCCGCCGUUCCCCCCCGGUGCGUGGGAGUGCCGCUGUGUGCGCUCGUGUUUUCGCUACGAUGGAGAGCACAGGGACAGGUUUCCGAGCAGAGCAGCCCGUCAGCCCCAGCACAGCGAGCUCUGCGGUUUUGAUGAAGAGAUGGCGUUUUGCAGUGAAAAUACAAAGAAAGAAGGAAGAGAAGCAGCCGUUUCCUUCCGAAGAUAAGGGCUAAGGUGCCGUCCUGAUUGCUGAGCAGGCUUUGCCUCCACGGGUCAAAUGAACCACGAAGGCAACGUGAGAACCUGAGUGCCCAGGCGGCCAGGCCAUGUGACAGCCCCGUGCUGCUCCGCCUCCUUACCGGCGGGGGAAGGCGCAGUAAGACGGAGCUGCGCGCCUCGUCCUCCUCUCACAAACCUUCCGAGCUGACGGAUGUUUCCUCCGGGCCUCUUAUUGCAGACACCUCCACCAUUUAUGUAUCCAAGCGAGCCGCGUGGGUGGAACUGGAUGUCACAGACAGGCUGAAAAUAACUCAGACUCUGAUACCUACCGGCCUGUGUGGAAAAUCUCGGGGAUCAGAUUGAAUCACGUUAUGCGUGGCUGGCAAACGCGCCGGGAUGCGCAGAUGGAGCAGUGGGGGUUAAGGAGAGGCUGAGGCGUUCUGUGGAGAGCCGGCAAGGACUCCACGGCUGAGCCUGCAGGGCUGCUUUCUUAAUGCCCAGAGUAGCAUAUGGGGAAGAGAAUUAUUUAGAAGGAUGUGUAAUUUCCUAUACGAUCAUCAUUAGGACUGGACAGAGUGGGCCAAGAUGUGACAGUGCGUACUCAGGUGAACUCUGAGCUUUCUGCUUCGCUCCGAAUGUAGAGCCCAGAGCUUCACCCAGCUGCUUGGUCAUUUCGCUGAGCACAGGCUGGCUUCCUUUGGGCACAUCUUAGAACCAGAACUCACAGUGAGCUGCUAAUAUUUUCCAAGGCCGUCCUGUUGGUCCGUGCCAGCCUCUAGAGGACAGGGAGAAGCAGUGCAAGGAGGGCCUGGGCGCAGUCCCACCCUGUGUCUUACCAGCACGACAUCCAUAGCUGCUAAUGUAAACGGCACAAGCGGGCACCUCGAUUCACAGCUCUGGAGCAGAAGCCAUCAGUGAAGAGUGGCAGAGCUUUAGCAACUUGCAGAGAGCUAAAAACAGAGCUUUGGUGGGAGACUCAAACUCCCAGAGGAUAUUCCCACAUUGAGGGAGAAGAUAGCCACGAUGCUGCCAGAGCUCCUGCUGCAGCACAGCUUUGGUACAUCAUACCCGCAUUAAAAGCUUUGUACUUCUCCUAAAAAUUACCCUCUAGGGUUUGUUUUCUCUUACCUGAGCUCCUUCCAAAGAUUAGUGUCAAAUUCACCACUCUCUUAAAACACCUACAAAGGCUUCAGCCGAAAGGUUUUCAUUUUAGGACAUUGAACAAAGAAUUUAGCCAGGCUCAAAACCUUUAUGCUGGUAAUGGUGCCACGCCCCAAGGGAAUUAAUUUGCCUAUCUCACACUGUGGGACUUCCCUGCUCCCAGAUGCCUCAGUCCAGACCACGCUUCCCAUGCUUCACCCUGAGGCUCUCGGCCCCACUCUUGCAGGAGAAAAACGCUGCUACUCUGAAAAACAUGGGUGAAAUUGUAAGUGGCACAGCAAGAACAUACCCCGAGCCCUGGAGCUGGUUUGCUCUCAGCCAGCUCAUUUCAGACUUGACUGUCCAGAAGUUUGAAUUGGGUCAGUGCAAUAAGCAGCAUAGAAGAGCCAUUCGGCCUGGGAGGGUGUUAGGUCCACUUGUUCUCAUAACAUCCCAGUGUGCUUGUGCAGCUCCUCUGAUCCCAAAUGAGCCUUUUGCUGUAGUGGGAAAGAUAACGCACGAUGUAAUUGUUGUUUGGUGGUGUGUUCUCUAGGUUUGUUGUUUUGUUGUAAGAAAGGCCUCCCAAUUCUCCUGUCACUACUUUCCAGGAAACUUGGUGUUUAUUAAGCACUGUGUAAAUUUGCAGCUCUCUCUAAAUGAAUAAUCAAUAGCAAUGAUAACAGCACAAAGUGCUUAGCCCCGCUCUGGUAAUAACUCAUGGCUGCUAACUUCUUGAUAAGGUCACUCACAUACACAGGAGUCUCCUUUCCAUAGGAGAGCACGAGGAGCAGGACAGAAGAUAUUUGUGUCCCCAGCCCGAAAGGAAAUGCUGAAAACAUAUUCCCUUCCAGCAGGUGACAAUGGUGGACAGCAACUUGAAGAGCUGUUCAGACGUAUCACGGGGCCUUAACCCCAACACUGAGCUCUGCAAACACGCACUUCCUGUUCUAGGAAAUUAGAAUCUUUGCAAGCAUCUCCUUGAUAAGAGUAUCCUUUUUUUCAUCUCCCCUCACAAACACACAAGAAAGGGAAAUUCCCAGUGGGUUGAAACACAGAGCAAGGAGCUGGUGCAGCUGUGACUGUAUUGGUAGUGCCACCACUAGCUGCAGUUAACAGGGCACAGCCUGGGUUGCACAGCACUCCAAGCUGUGUUAGGACCCCGCUUACUGCAGCUCUCCUACUUAGAAUGCCCCACAGCUCUUCAGGCAGGUAGGUAGAAGGGCUUUAGGAUUUUUACAGUGGCGCCACUGGCAGUAACCAAACCUAUGCCAUUUAAAAAUAGCUCGUGUGCAACCAACGGCUAAAUAUCAGCUCGCCAUCCCCCCCCCACCUUCCAGCAAAGCGGUUCCCUUCGCGGUGGAGCUGUGGCAGACAGCUGAGGUUGGCUCCGUGCAGUCUGCUUCUCUUCCACCACGUCCCUUUAAUCCUGGUUUAGGGUUCCCAAAUGCUUUAUGCCAUCCACCUGGCCUCCACUGUGACCUCUCCAAGGAGUUCACCAAGAGACAGGAGGCUGCAGACAUAAUCUCUUCCCUGCCCUUCUCUGUCAGGAAGCCCAGCUUUACAGUCACCUUUGGGCUUCUUCUUUGCCUCGGUUCUGCAGUAAAUCAAGUCCAUCUGCACAUUAAUUCCUUCCUGUCAGCUUCUUCCUCCACCUCUGCCCACUAUCCUACCCUUAGAUCCAGCAAUCUUCAGCAUGGGAAGAAUCCUUCUUAGGAUCCCAAAGGGAGUACCCCACCGUUAGAUAAUAAUCACGCAGAAAUAAUCACCGGGGGCUGGCAGGGGUUUGAAGCCUUUAAAGCC
Molecule: long non-coding RNA, 3565 nt
Filed under: Gallus gallus (chicken)
Lineage: Eukaryota; Metazoa; Chordata; Aves; Galliformes; Phasianidae
Source: RNAcentral